GCUUAAAGGCCCGCCCCUAGGGUUUGGUACCAGAGUCAGUAAUGAGCGUCAGAUUGCAGCGCUGACGGCAUGCACUUACACAUGCAAGUCGAUAUCUAGACACCAUAGAGGCUAGCGUCUACCGGUGUCGAGCGGCGGACGGGUGAGUAAUGUCCUGGGAAACUGCCUGGGAGGUGGGGGAUCAACCACUGGAAACGGAUAGGCUAAUACCGCAUAAUGUCGCAAGACCAAAGAGGGGGACCUUCGGGCCUCUCGCCAUCAGGAUAUGCCUAGAUGGGAUUAGCUAGUAGGUGAGGUAAGGGCUCACCAAGGCGACGAUCCCUAGCUGGUCUGAGAGGAUGAUCAGCCACACUGGAACUGAGACACGGUCCAGACUCCUACGGGAGGCAGCAGUGGGGAAUAUUGCACAAUGGGCGCAAGCCUGAUGCAGCCAUGCCGCGUGUAUGAAGAAGGCCUUCGGGUUGUAAAGCACUUUCAGUCGUGAGGAAGGUAGUGUAGUUAAUAACCGCAUUAAUUGACGUUAGCGACAGAAGAAGCACCGGCUAACUCCGUGCCAGCAGCCGCGGUAAUACGGAGGGUGCGAGCGUUAAUCGGAAUUACUGGGCGUAAAGCGCAUGCAGGUGGUUUGUCAAGUCAGAUGUGAAAGCCCCGGGCUCAACCUGGGAAUUGCAUUUGAAACUGGCAGGCUAGAGUCUUGUAGAGGGGGGUAGAAUUUCAGGUGUAGCGGUGAAAUGCGUAGAGAUCUGAAGGAAUACCGGUGGCGAAGGCGGCCCCCUGGACAAAGACUGACACUCAGGUGCGAAAGCGUGGGGAGCAAACAGGAUUAGAUACCCUGGUAGUCCACGCCGUAAACGAUGUCGAUUUGGAGGUUGUGCGCCUUGAGGCCGUGGCUCCGGAGCUAACGCGUAAUCGACCGCCUGGGAGAGGGGGCCAUA
This 935-nucleotide ribosomal RNA is filed under the name Vibrio sp. RNAcentral describes it as "bacterial SSU rRNA". It matches the Rfam family "Bacterial small subunit ribosomal RNA", at positions 1 to 890 of the family's 1533-position model. Lineage: Bacteria; Pseudomonadati; Pseudomonadota; Gammaproteobacteria; Vibrionales; Vibrionaceae. The record is from RNAcentral.